This 497-nucleotide ribosomal RNA is filed under the name uncultured bacterium. RNAcentral's name for it is "partial 16S ribosomal RNA". It matches the Rfam family "Bacterial small subunit ribosomal RNA", at positions 28 to 507 of the family's 1533-position model. The record is from RNAcentral.
GACGAACGCUGGCGGCGUGCCUAAUACAUGCAAGUAGAACGCUGAAGAGAGGAGCUUGCUCUUCUUGGAUGAGUUGCGAACGGGUGAGUAACGCGUAGGUAACCUGCCUUGUAGCGGGGGAUAACUAUUGGAAACGAUAGCUAAUACCGCAUAACAAUGGAUGACACAUGUCAUUUAUUUGAAAGGGGCAAUUGCUCCACUACAAGAUGGACCUGCGUUGUAUUAGCUAGUAGGUGAGGUAACGGCUCACCUAGGCGACGACACAUAGCCGACCUGAGAGGGUGAUAGGCCACACUGGGACUGAGACACGGCCCAGACUCCUACGGGAGGCAGCAGUAGGGAAUCUUCGGCAAUGGGGGCAAACCUGACCGAGCAACGCCGCGUGAGUGAAGAAGGUUUUCGGAUCGUAAAGCUCUGUUGUAAGUCAAGAACGAGUGUGAGAGUGGAAAGUUCACACUGUGACGGUAGCUUACCAGAAAGGGACGGCUAACUACGUG